UCAAAGGUUUUAUCGUUGUGUUUUUAUCUAAAAACCACAAAUAUCAUUUGAAAAGUUAUAU
Edhazardia aedis is the source of this 61-nucleotide non-coding RNA. Lineage: Eukaryota; Fungi; Microsporidia; Culicosporidae. The record is from Rfam.